GCGCAGCCCGCGGGGGCCACGGUGCAGGAGCAGCUGCGGCAGCUCUUUGAGCGGGACUGGAGUUCGCGCUACGCCGUCGGCCUGGACGGACAGGCUCCGGGCCAGGACUGCGUUUGGCAGGGCUGAGGGGGGCCUCUUUUUCUCUCGGCGACCCCGCCCCGCACGCGCCCUCCCCUCUGACCCCGGCCUGGGCUUCAGCCGCUUCCUCCCGCAAGCAGCCCGGGUCCGCACUGCGCCAGGAGCCGCCUGCGACCGCCCGGGCGUCGCAAACCGCCCGCCUGCUCUCUGAUUUCCGAGUCCAGCCCCCCCUGAGCCCCACCUCCUCCAGGGAGCCCUCCAGGAAGCCCCUUCCCUGACUCCUGGCCCACAGGCCAGGCCUAAAAAAAACUCGUGGCUUC
RNAcentral lists this long non-coding RNA (398 nucleotides) under Homo sapiens (human). Its description in RNAcentral is "long non-coding RNA NONHSAT040307". Lineage: Eukaryota; Metazoa; Chordata; Mammalia; Primates; Hominidae. The record is from RNAcentral.